Molecule: long non-coding RNA, 630 nt
Organism: Astyanax mexicanus (Mexican tetra)
Lineage: Eukaryota; Metazoa; Chordata; Actinopteri; Characiformes; Acestrorhamphidae
Exons: 3
Source: RefSeq, a predicted model, not a curated record
GCCGUAAUCACCUGUGUCAUAACUGGUGAUAAUAAAAAAGAAGUGGAAGCAGCAAACGUGUCGUGGACAUUUGGAGGACAAACACGCACAAGUACCUCAACAGAUAAUGUUAAAGAGACGACACCACCAUUUACUAAAACCAGUACAUUAUCCCUCAGUGAAUCUGAAUGGUUUUCAGAGAGAGAAGUAAAGUGCUCUACUGAAAGAGAUAAAACACCAUUCUCAGAGAAAAUUAAAGUGAAGAAAGGAGGCAAACCUUCUAUUCUCUUCUACAAACCUGAGAAGCAUGUCUCUGACGGUGAGAAAGUCUCUCUGUUGUGUGAGGUCAGCAGCUCUGAUCUGGGGGAUGUGUACAUCAUGUGGAAAAUGAACAACGGCCAGCACAGAGAAAGCAGCAGCACAGUUCACACUAAUGCUAAUACAGUCCUCAGCUACUUAACUGUGUCUGGAAACGAAUACAACAGAGCACAAUUCACUUGUGUAGUCAAAGACCCCAACAUGACGGCUGGAGCUCUACCAGAACAGAAGACAACAUCUAUGAAUAAGUUCUCUCUAAAGAUCAACCCACCAACUGUGAAGGAUCUUUUUGUAUUUAAUAGAGCCUUAAUCACCUGUGUCAUAACUGGUGAU